GAUGAAGAACGUAGCGAAAUGCGAUAAGUAAUGUGAAUUGCAGAAUUCAGUGAAUCAUCGAAUCUUUGAACGCACAUUGCGCCCCUUGGUAUUCCGAGGGGCAUGCCCGUUCGAGCGUCAUUAUACCCCUCAAGCCUAGCUUGGUGUUGGGGCCUGCUGUUACCGGCAGCCCUUAAAAUCAGUGGCGGUGCCAUCUGGCUCUAAGCGUAGUAAUACUUCUCGCUACAGGGUCCCGGUGGAUGCUUGCCAUCAACCCCUAAUUUUAUAUGGUUGACCUCGGAUCGGGUAGGGAUACCCGCUGAACUUAAGCAUAUCAAUAAGCGGAGGA
RNAcentral lists this unclassified non-coding RNA (328 nucleotides) under soil metagenome. RNAcentral's name for it is "partial contains 5.8S ribosomal RNA, internal transcribed spacer 2, and large subunit ribosomal RNA". The stretch from base 1 to 120 matches the Rfam family "5.8S ribosomal RNA", at positions 35 to 154 of the family's 154-position model. The record is from RNAcentral.